GUAGGGAAUAUUGGUCAAUGGGGGCAACCCUGAACCAGCCAUGCCGCGUGUAGGAUGAAGGCGUUAUGCGUUGUAAACUACUUUUGAUUGGGAACAAAUGACAUCUGCGGAUGUAGCUGAGUGUACCAAUAGAAUAAGCCACGGCUAACUACGUGCCAGCAGCCGCGGUAAUACGUAGGUGGCAAGCGUUGUCCGGAUUUAUUGGGUUUAAAGGGUGCGUAGGCGGCUUAAUAAGUCAGUGGUGAAAGCCGGUAGCUUAACUAUCGAAAUGCCAUUGAUACUGCUAGGCUUGAGUACAGUUGAGGUAGGCGGAAUUGACAGUGUAGCGGUGAAAUGCUUAGAUAUUGUCAAGAACACCAAUUGCGAAGGCAGCUUACUAAAGUGUAACUGACGCUGAGGCACGAAAGUGCGGGGAUCAAACAGGAUUAGAAACCCGAGUAGUCC
Molecule: ribosomal RNA, 444 nt
Filed under: uncultured bacterium
Lineage: Bacteria
Description: bacterial SSU rRNA
Rfam family: Bacterial small subunit ribosomal RNA
Source: RNAcentral